This 253-nucleotide ribosomal RNA is filed under the name uncultured bacterium. RNAcentral describes it as "partial 16S ribosomal RNA". It matches the Rfam family "Bacterial small subunit ribosomal RNA", at positions 524 to 776 of the family's 1533-position model. The record is from RNAcentral.
UACGGGGGGGGCAAGCGUUGUUCGGAAUUACUGGGCGUAAAGGGCUCGUAGGCGGCCAACUAAGUCAGACGUGAAAUCCCUCGGCUUAACCGGGGAACUGCAUCUGAUACUGGAUGGCUUGAGUUCGGGAGAGGGAUGCGGAAUUCCAGGUGUAGCGGUGAAAUGCGUAGAUAUCUGGAGGAACACCGGUGGCGAAGGCGGCAUCCUGGACCGACACUGACGCUGAGGAGCGAAAGCCGGGGGAGCAAACGGG